AAACUUGAGCUAAUACCGGAUACGCCCUUACGGGGAAAGAUUAUUGCCGAAGGAWCGGCCCGCGUCSGAUUAGCUAGUUGGUGAGGUAAUGGYUCACCAAGGCGACGAUCCGUAGYUGKUCUGAGAGGAUGAYCAGCCUCACUGGGACUGAGACACGGCCCAGAYUCCUACGGGAGGCAGCAGUGGGGAAUAUUGGACAAUGGGCGCAAGCCUGAUCCAGCCAUSCCGCGUGRAUGAUGAAGGCCUUAGGGUUGUAAAGUCCUUUYAMCSGGGAAGAUAAUGACSGUACCCGUAUAAUAAGCCCCGGCUAACUUC
Molecule: ribosomal RNA, 315 nt
Filed under: uncultured alpha proteobacterium GE21
Lineage: Bacteria; Pseudomonadati; Pseudomonadota; Alphaproteobacteria
Description: partial 16S ribosomal RNA
Rfam family: Bacterial small subunit ribosomal RNA
Source: RNAcentral